RNAcentral lists this transfer RNA (75 nucleotides) under Thermoplasmatales archaeon BRNA1. It matches the Rfam family "tRNA". Rfam says of the family: Transfer RNA (tRNA) molecules are approximately 80 nucleotides in length. Lineage: Archaea; Methanobacteriati; Thermoplasmatota; Thermoplasmata; Thermoplasmatales. The record is from Rfam by way of RNAcentral.
GGGCCCAUAGCUUAGCACGGCUCGAGCGUCCGACUGAUAAUCGGAAGGUCACCGGUUCAAAUCCGGUUGGGCCCA